GAUGAAGAACUUAGCGAAAUGCGAUAAGUAAUGUGAAUUGCAGAAUUCAGUGAAUCAUCGAAUCUUUGAACGCACAUUGCGCCCGCCAGUAUUCUGGCGGGCAUGCCUGUUCGAGCGUCAUUUCAACCAUCAAGCCCCGGGCUUGUGUUGGGGACCUGCGGCUGCCGCAGGCCCUGAAAUGCAGUGGCGGGCUCGCUGUCACUCCGAGCGUAGUAGUUACAUCUCGCUCUGGGCGUGCUGCGGGUUCCGGCCGUUAAAAGCCUUAUUUACCCAAGGUUGACCUCGGAUCAGGUAGGAAGACCCGCUGAACUUAAGCAUAUCAAUAAGCGGAGGA
RNAcentral lists this unclassified non-coding RNA (334 nucleotides) under soil metagenome. RNAcentral describes it as "partial contains 5.8S ribosomal RNA, internal transcribed spacer 2, and large subunit ribosomal RNA". The stretch from base 1 to 120 matches the Rfam family "5.8S ribosomal RNA", at positions 35 to 154 of the family's 154-position model. The record is from RNAcentral.